Molecule: ribosomal RNA, 254 nt
Filed under: uncultured bacterium
Lineage: Bacteria
Description: partial 16S ribosomal RNA
Rfam family: Bacterial small subunit ribosomal RNA
Source: RNAcentral
GACGUAGGGGGCGAGCGUUAUCCGGAUUCACUGGGCGUAAAGGGCGCGCAGGCGGUUACGUAAGUCCGGCGUGAAAUCCCAUGGCUUAACUGUGGAACUGCGUCGGAUACUGCGUUGACUUGAGGAUGGUAGAGGCCAUUAGAACUAGCGGUGUAGCGGUGAAAUGCGCAGAUAUCGCUAGGAAUGCCGGUGGCGAAGGCGGAUGGCUGGGCCAAUCCUGACGCUGAGGCGCGAAAGCUAGGGGAGCGAACCGG